AUGGGCCGCCGCCGCCGCCCUUACUCGCCGGCUCCAGCGGCCCCGCUGGAAGACGACGACCUCCUGGGGGAGAUCCUCCUCCGCCUCCCUCCGCGGCCGUCCUCCCUCCCGCGCGCCUCCCUCGUCUGCAAGCGUUGGCGCCGCCUCGUCUCCGACCGCGGCUUCCUCGCCCGCUUCCGCGCGCGCCACCGCAGGGAGCCCCCGCUCCUCGGCAUCUUCACCGGCGGGUUCGAAUGGCUCGGCUUCACCCCCUUGCUGGACCCGCCCGACCGCGUCCCCGCCGAGCGCCUCUCCCUGCGGCAGAGCCGCGACGAGCGCUGGAUCUUCUGCGGCUGCCGCCACGGCCUCGCGCUCCUCUUCAACGUCGACCGCCUCCACGCCGUCGUGUGCGACCCCCUCACCGGUCGCCGGCGCCAGGUGCCCUUCCCGCCGGGGUUCGACGACGACCAAGAGAACAUCAUCGGAAGCGCCGGGAUGCUCUGCGCCGCCCGCGGGGAAGGCCACGUGCACGGCGACUGCCACUCGAGCCCCUUCAAGCUGGUCCUAGUCCGCACCAACACGGCCCGCACUCGCGUCUUCGCUCGCCUCUACGACUCCCAGUCCGGUGAAUGGGGAAAUCUGAUCUCAGAACCAAUUACGGUCAUCCUUCCGAUUACCCUGCAGCGCUCCAGCGUCCUGGUUGGGAGUGCAUUGCACUGGUCGAUUGACGCAACCAGCAUCCUCUCAUUUGAUCUUGAAACGCAGCGCCUUGCCCUGAUCCGGGAGCCGGCAGACGCCCGUUCUUGCGGACACAGGAUGGCUGCCUAG
This 807-nucleotide ribosomal RNA is filed under the name Triticum aestivum (bread wheat). Its description in RNAcentral is "partial small subunit ribosomal RNA". Lineage: Eukaryota; Viridiplantae; Streptophyta; Magnoliopsida; Poales; Poaceae. The record is from RNAcentral.